UUCGCAAUGCCCGAAAGGGUGAACGAGCGACGCCGCGUGCGGGAUGAAGGGUUUCGGCUUGUAAACCGCUUUUUUUUGGGAAGAAGGCCUGUCUUGUGAAGAUGGGCUCGACGGUACCAGAGGAAUAAGCCUCGGCUAACUCCGUGCCAGCCGCCGCGGUAAGACGGAGGAGGCGAGCGUUGUUUGGAAUUAUUGGGCGUAAAGGGCGUGUAGGCGGAUGGGAACGUCGGUUUUUGAAAGCCCCCGGCUCAACCGGGGAAGUGGAGCCGAAACGACCGAUCUGGAGGGACGUAGGGGGACCUGGAACUUCCGGUGGAGCGGUGAAAUGCGUUGAGAUCGGAAGGAACGCCCGUGGCGAAAGCGAGGUCCUGGACGUCUGCUGACGCUGAGACGCGAAAGCUAGGGGAGCGAACGGGAUUAGAUACCCCGGUAGUCCUAGCCGUAAACGAUGGGCACUAAGUAGAGGGGUUUU
Molecule: ribosomal RNA, 472 nt
Filed under: uncultured bacterium
Lineage: Bacteria
Description: bacterial SSU rRNA
Rfam family: Bacterial small subunit ribosomal RNA
Source: RNAcentral